UAAUUACUGUCUCAUUUGUUUUUUUAGAAUUUAAUUUUUGAGUCAAAAAGCUCAAGUUUUUUUGUAGGACGAGAAGACCCUAUAGAUCUUUAUUGUUUUUAUUCUUUUUUUAUUUAGUUUAAAUUUUAUUUUUUAGUUUAUUUGCUUUUUUGUUGGGGUGACAUGGAGAUUAUAUUAACUCUUUAUUUUUUUUUUCAUUUAUUUAUGUUUAUUUGACCUUUUAUUAAUGUUAUAAGAUUUAGAUACCUUAGGGAUAACAGCGUUAUUUUUUUUGAGAGUUCAUAUCGACAGAGAANAUUGCGACCUCGAUGUUGGAUUAAGAUUAUUAUCAGGUGUAGUGGCUUGAUUAUUAGGUCUGUUCGACCUUUAAAUUCUUACAUGAUCUGAGUUCAAACCGGA
RNAcentral lists this ribosomal RNA (399 nucleotides) under Brasidas foveolatus. RNAcentral describes it as "partial 16S ribosomal RNA". The stretch from base 253 to 399 matches the Rfam family "Bacterial large subunit ribosomal RNA", at positions 2473 to 2620 of the family's 2925-position model. The record is from RNAcentral. Lineage: Eukaryota; Metazoa; Arthropoda; Insecta; Phasmatodea; Heteropterygidae.